AAAGACACUUCCCUUUUUCCCCUCUUAUGUUUGUUGCUUUUGAAGUGUGAAAGAUUGACAUUAGCACAAAGAGGUUCUACUGGACUGGAUAAAAUUCCUUUAGUAAACAUUGAAAGUGAGUAGGUUCAUUCAUUCUAAAGCGUGCUUUUAUCUAUAAUCUAUUAUUCCUUUAUUACUCUGCAUCCUGUGGUUUUUCAAUGGAAAUGAUAGCCUAAUUGGUGGUUUGUGAUUUUCUUUCCUGUAAUCUGCAUUUUGACGAGUAAGAAUGAUUACAUCAUUUGGAAUAUGUACAAGGGAACAAAUACUCCAUGUAGCCUUUUCCUCUGCCAAAAGGAAUGAUCUCCUAGGCAGUUUACAUAGAGGCAAUUGUGAUGGUGGAAGCCCUAUGUACUUAGGGUGAAAAAUAUGGUCUCUCUUCUGUUCGUACAGCAGCAGCACAGGGCCAUCGUCGCCACUCGUUGGUCCUCCACUGCCGGUGUUCUCUCCUUCGUAUGUACAACACGCAGCCAAAAAUCUGGCGAGCAGAACAUGGAUGGCGACGUAAUGAGCGAGCAAGAGUCAGGUUGUUUUUUUUUUUUCCCCCAGAUUUUUAAUUUGUUUGGUCAUUUUAAUUUGAUGGACUUGAGAAGAGAGCUAGGGUUUCCGAGGGAAAGGAGAAUGAAGAUAAAGGGAGAGGAAGAGAUUUGAUGACUGUGAGGUGAAGGAUAAAGAAGAGAUGAGAUAAAGGAAGAAAUUUGAGGAUAAGGUGAAAGGGAAGGAUUUGGGGGUUGAUGAGGAGGAUAUGGGUCUAGAAUUUUCCUUUUGCAUAAGAUAAUGUGUUUAUUUGGUUUGAAUUAAUUUUUUUUUUUGUUUCUUUCUGGUAUUCUAAUUUUUAUUUUUAUUUUUUUUCAUUCUUUGGUAAAAUUGAAUUCUUGGUUAAGUUUUUGUGUUCCUGAUUCGACCCAAUGUGGAUCUGAAUGACCUGUGUGUAAACAUUAGUUUGUUGAUAGAGAUACUAUUAUGAAACUGUUUAUUUUUAUUUUUUCUUGAAAUUUUCUGUUCUAGGGGAUUGUAGAUAUCUAAUGGAGUGAUAAAUUGAAUGAUAAUGAGCUUUCUUUUUUUGGUCAAUGUAAGCAUAAGGCCUGCACCUUAUAUUGAAAAUAUGGUGUCUAUUUACCAAAGCUUGGAUGCUGCAUUUGCUGCCAAUGUCUCUUUGUCAUUGUCUUCAGGUAAGGAUAGGUUAAUUGUUGGUUCACUUGGUUGUGUAUUUGUGUUAAUUGUUGAGACUUGAGGUUGAGGAGUGAGAGCUGUGUUAAAUGUAUGAAGAUAUCCUUUAGAAGAUCUUGUUUCGGAAAGUUCCUUUGCAUCAUAAUUUAGUGAUUAAUGGUGCCUGGUGGUAAUUCUGUUGCAUGAAUGCACAAGCUUCUCUAGUUGAAUAUGACGGCUCUAUUUAGGAUGUGUGUCUUUAUUUACUGAUUUGAUUACAUGUUCAUCCUUCAUUGCUUCUUUCUUCUUCUUCUUCUUCUUCUUUUUUCUUCUUCUAACAUGGAAAGGAAGUGGCUGUUUCUUCAAGGCAAGCACAUUCUCAAGGUUUUGAAACUACUGGUGAAGGGGAGAAAUUUGAAGUGUUACAGCUUCGUAAAGAUUCCUUGGAGUCCACAGGAGUUAAGGAAAUUUUAGAACUCAAACAAUUUGCUAGUGAUUUCUUGUCAUUAUACUGCAGGUACUUUAUUUAUAUACACAACUAGUACCACUGAGAUUAAAUUCACAACAUGAGAAAAACAUUUUUUUUCUUCAGCAUGAUUGGAUCUUUAUAUAUUCUUUCUGUUCUAUAUGUUAAAUGAUAUCUUUUUUUUUCUUUUGCUAGAAACAUACUGCACAGUUUCACU
Molecule: long non-coding RNA, 1868 nt
Organism: Ipomoea triloba (trilobed morning glory)
Lineage: Eukaryota; Viridiplantae; Streptophyta; Magnoliopsida; Solanales; Convolvulaceae
Exons: 3
Source: RefSeq, a predicted model, not a curated record